Molecule: non-coding RNA, 187 nt
Filed under: Gammaproteobacteria bacterium
Lineage: Bacteria; Pseudomonadati; Pseudomonadota; Gammaproteobacteria
Also listed under: 2 other names
Description: 6S RNA
Rfam family: 6S / SsrS RNA
About the family: E. coli 6S RNA was the first non coding RNA to be sequenced, but its function was unknown until recently. It consists of 184 nucleotides that fold into an extended hairpin structure with a large single-stranded internal bulge. The 6S RNA specifically associates with RNA polymerase holoenzyme containing the sigma70 specificity factor.
Source: RNAcentral
CAUUCCCUGCGGUGCUCGACAGCUGGCCCGAUGUUCCCUUGAGCCUAUGCUUAUGCACCCCGGGACCGGGUCACGGUUGCCAGUGUGCAAGUCCGCCUCGUAGCGGAAAGCCUGAGGCGCCGUUUCGGUCCCACUUGAACCCCACGGUUCAAGGAUAACGGCAAGUACCGGCACAGGCGGGGAAUGU